UUAUAAGGUCAUACCACCCUGAAUGUGCCCAAACUCCUCUGACCUGGGAGGCCAAAUAGGGUUGAACCUGAUUAGUUCUUUGAUGUGGGCCAAAUAUAUUUUGAUUGUGGUGCAUAGA
RNAcentral lists this ribosomal RNA (118 nucleotides) under Procavia capensis (Cape rock hyrax). The record is from RNAcentral. Lineage: Eukaryota; Metazoa; Chordata; Mammalia; Hyracoidea; Procaviidae.